UACGUAGGGACCGAGCGUUGUCCGGAAUCAUUGGGCGUAAAGCGCGUGUAGGCGGUUCGGUAAGUCCGCUGUGAAAGUCGGGGGCUCAACCCUCGGAUGCCGGUGGAUACUGUCGAGCUUGAGUACGGAAGAGGCGAGUGGAAUUCCUGGUGUAGCGGUGAAAUGCGCAGAUAUCAGGAGGAACACCAAUUGCGAAGGCAGCUCGCUGGGACGUUACUGACGCUGAGACGCGAAAGCGUUGGGGAGCAAACAGG
This 254-nucleotide ribosomal RNA is filed under the name uncultured bacterium. RNAcentral describes it as "partial 16S ribosomal RNA". It matches the Rfam family "Bacterial small subunit ribosomal RNA", at positions 524 to 776 of the family's 1533-position model. The record is from RNAcentral.